This 740-nucleotide ribosomal RNA is filed under the name uncultured bacterium. RNAcentral describes it as "bacterial SSU rRNA". It matches the Rfam family "Bacterial small subunit ribosomal RNA", at positions 790 to 1530 of the family's 1533-position model. The record is from RNAcentral.
GUAGUCCUGGCCGUAAACGAUGUCGACUUGGAGGUUGUGCCCUUGAGGCGUGGCUUCCGGAGCUAACGCGUUAAGUCGACCGCCUGGGGAGUACGGCCGCAAGGUUAAAACUCAAAUGAAUUGACGGGGGCCCGCACAAGCGGUGGAGCAUGUGGUUUAAUUCGAUGCAACGCGAAGAACCUUACCUGGUCUUGACAUCCACGGAAGUUUUCAGAGAUGAGAAUGUGCCUUCGGGAACCGUGAGACAGGUGCUGCAUGGCUGUCGUCAGCUCGUGUUGUGAAAUGUUGGGUUAAGUCCCGCAACGAGCGCAACCCUUAUCCUUUGUUGCCAGCGGUCCGGCCGGGAACUCAAAGGAGACUGCCAGUGAUAAACUGGAGGAAGGUGGGGAUGACGUCAAGUCAUCAUGGCCCUUACGACCAGGGCUACACACGUGCUACAAUGGCGCAUACAAAGAGAAGCGACCUCGCGAGAGCAAGCGGACCUCAUAAAGUGCGUCGUAGUCCGGAUUGGAGUCUGCAACUCGACUCCAUGAAGUCGGAAUCGCUAGUAAUCGUGGAUCAGAAUGCCACGGUGAAUACGUUCCCGGGCCUUGUACACACCGCCCGUCACACCAUGGGAGUGGGUUGCAAAAGAAGUAGGUAGCUUAACCUUCGGGAGGGCGCUUACCACCUUGUGAUUCAUGACUGGGGUGAAGUCGUAACAAGGUAACCGUAGGGGAACCUGCGGCUGGAUCACCUCC